Molecule: ribosomal RNA, 329 nt
Filed under: uncultured eukaryote
Lineage: Eukaryota
Description: partial 18S ribosomal RNA
Rfam family: Eukaryotic small subunit ribosomal RNA
Source: RNAcentral
CCCUUAGAUGUUCUGGGCCGCACGCGCGCUACACUGUUUGAUUCAGCGAGUCUUAACCUUGACCGAAAGGUUUGGGUAAUCUUCUAAAGUCAAACGUGAUAGGGAUCGAUCAUUGCAAUUAUUGAUCGUGAACGAGGAAUUCCUAGUAAAUGCAAGUCAUCAGCUUGCGUUGAUUACGUCCCUGCCCUUUGUACACACCGCCCGUCGCUACUACCGAUUGAAUGGUUUAGUGAGAUCUCCGGAUUGGCUCUGUAGGUCCCGCAAGGGAUUUAUUAGUAGCCAAGAAGCUGCUCAAACUUGAUCAUUUAGAGGAAGUAAAAGUCGUAACA